Molecule: ribosomal RNA, 229 nt
Filed under: uncultured bacterium
Lineage: Bacteria
Description: partial 16S ribosomal RNA
Rfam family: Bacterial small subunit ribosomal RNA
Source: RNAcentral
CGCGUAGGCGGUUUCUUAAGUCAGAUGUGAAAGCCCGGGGCUUAACCCCGGAAGUGCAUAUGAAACUAAGGGACUUGAGUAUGGGAGAGGGAAGUGGAAUUCCUGGUGUAGCGGUGAAAUGCGUAGAUAUCAGGAGGAACACCGGUGGCGAAGGCGACUUCCUGGACCAAUACUGACGCUGAGGCGCGAAGGCGUGGGGAGCAAACAGGAUUAGAUACCCUGGUAGUCC